This 460-nucleotide ribosomal RNA is filed under the name Streptomyces sp. RNAcentral describes it as "bacterial SSU rRNA". It matches the Rfam family "Bacterial small subunit ribosomal RNA", at positions 124 to 597 of the family's 1533-position model. The record is from RNAcentral. Lineage: Bacteria; Bacillati; Actinomycetota; Actinomycetes; Kitasatosporales; Streptomycetaceae.
AUCUGCCCUGCACUCUGGGACAAGCCCUGGAAACGGGGUCUAAUACCGGAUACUCACUGCCUUGGGCAUCCUUGGUGGUGGAAAGCUCCGGCGGUGCAGGAUGAGCCCGCGGCCUAUCAGCUAGUUGGUGAGGUAAUGGCUCACCAAGGCGACGACGGGUAGCCGGCCUGAGAGGGCGACCGGCCACACUGGGACUGAGACACGGCCCAGACUCCUACGGGAGGCAGCAGUGGGGAAUAUUGCACAAUGGGCGAAAGCCUGAUGCAGCGACGCCGCGUGAGGGAUGACGGCCUUCGGGUUGUAAACCUCUUUCAGCAGGGAAGAAGCGAAAGUGACGGUACCUGCAGAAGAAGCGCCGGCUAACUACGUGCCAGCAGCCGCGGUAAUACGUAGGGCGCAAGCGUUGUCCGGAAUUAUUGGGCGUAAAGAGCUCGUAGGCGGCUUGUCACGUCGGUUGUGA